Molecule: long non-coding RNA, 1222 nt
Organism: Hemibagrus wyckioides
Lineage: Eukaryota; Metazoa; Chordata; Actinopteri; Siluriformes; Bagridae
Exons: 2
Source: RefSeq, a predicted model, not a curated record
GUGAAUGCCUGUAAUUCUCAUGGGUAGCCGAAUCCAUUACUCAGAAAUAUUUUCAUUGCAACACUUAUCGGGCAAGGGCAGCACGGUGGCUUAGUGGUUAGCACUGUUGCCUCACAGCAAAAAGGUCCUGGGUUCGAAUCCUGGGGUCGAACUGGGGCCUUUCUGUGUGGAGUUUGCAUGUUCUCCCCGUGCCUGCGUGGGUUUACGCCGGUUUCCUCCCACAGUCCAAAGACAUAUACAUUAGGUUGAUUGGUAAUUCUAAAUUGCCCAUAGGAGGGAGUGUGUGUGUGUGCUUGUGUGGCCCUGUGAUGGACUGGCCACCUGUCCAGGGUGUACCCCCUGCCUUUCGCCCUAUGUGCGCUGGGAUAGGCUCCAGCAGACCCCUGGGAGUCCUAGGAAUAAGUGGGUAUAGACAAUGAAUGAAUGAAUGAAAAUGGUUCCACUUUCUAAUAAGGAAACUGUUGCAAUUAAAGGUACCAUAAAGUCCUGGUCUCGAUUUGCGUAAAGUUUGUUUUGAAAAAUAAAAAAGUCAAGAAAUGUUUUCCCACACACAAAAUCGAUAACAUUACUGCUGGUCGCAUUAAUAGGAACACCCAUGCAAUGGCUUCGGGCUCUGCCUUUGUAGAUGGGUAAAUGUGUGAGAUCAUGCUAAAAGGAAGGUAUUAUUAACCACUCUUUAAAGCCAUGAUGGAUGAAAAGAAAAGAAUCUCAGAAUGCACGACAUGUCAAACGCUGAGGUGGACGGGCUUACAACAAGCAAAACCGGGUUCUGGUGCCGUAAGCCAAGAGAACAGGAAUCUGAUUCUCCUGUGAUUUAGCUAAAAGAAUUCCUUGAGGAACGUCACAUAUAUUAAACCCUAAACAUAAUAAUAAUAAUGUUGUUGUUCUUUCUGUGACUCCCUGUUCAGGGCUGCCACAGCGGAUCAUUUGGUCCACAUGUUUCAAUUUGGCAAAGGUUGCCCUUCCUGACACAACCCUCCGGUUUAAUCCGGGCUUGGGACCGGCACUGAGAGUGGCCGGGAGACUCUUCAGUGGCUGGGUUAGCGCCCUGCCUGGGAAUCGAACCUCAGCCAUGGCUGCUGGACCACCAGAAGGCUAAUAAUAAUAAUAACAAAUCCUAUAUUCCAAAUCAUUCAGAAAGCAAAAAAUCCUUAACUAUCCAAAGAUGGUCAUGAAAAAGAUGGCUUCCUUCUAGUAAAACCUGAAAAACAAACAAACAAAU